ACGUAGGGAGCGAGCGUUGUCCGGAUUCAUUGGGCGUAAAGAGCGCGCAGGCGGUUUGGUAAGUCGGAUGUGAAAUCUCCGGGCCUAACCCGGAAAGUGCGGAGGGGACUGCUCGGCUAGAGGAUGGGAGAGGAGCGCGGAAUUCCCGGUGUAGCGGUGAAAUGCGUAGAGAUCGGGAGGAAGGCCGGUGGCGAAGGCGGCGCUCUGGAACAUUUCUGACGCUGAGGCUCGAAAGCGUGGGGAGCAAACAGGA
This 253-nucleotide ribosomal RNA is filed under the name uncultured prokaryote. RNAcentral's name for it is "partial 16S ribosomal RNA". It matches the Rfam family "Bacterial small subunit ribosomal RNA", at positions 525 to 777 of the family's 1533-position model. The record is from RNAcentral.